Molecule: non-coding RNA, 2066 nt
Organism: Nothobranchius furzeri (turquoise killifish)
Lineage: Eukaryota; Metazoa; Chordata; Actinopteri; Cyprinodontiformes; Nothobranchiidae
Source: RefSeq, a predicted model, not a curated record
GCAACUACCAUGCAGUGUUCCAGUACAUGGAAACUACGGGUGCUCUUGAUUCUGACAAUGAGAUCCACCUGCUGUGCCUGCACUACGUAAUGAUUCCAAGAAUCAACGCCCACCUAAAUGUCUUCAGAAGAACUUGGGACAGACACCGCAUUUCCUCUGCUGGAAACCGCUCCCCUGACCAGCUGUGGAUCUCCGGGCAAUUGACAAGUGAAGUGGAACCAACUCAACCAGUCAGCCUCAGUGAAUGGGGCAAUGACUUUGAGGGAUCUUUACCAGCCUCUGAUUCCACUGCUGACAUUGUCGUGCCAGAGCAUCCAGACUCACUAAUACAAAAUGUCAACAGAUUGUUGGACAGAAUAGACCCGUUAACAGCCAGCUCAUGUUUUGGAGCAGACUUGUACAUGGAAGCACUGCGACUGGCUGAACUUUAAUUCUCUUCUUGGUGUUCAAAGUAGUUGCUGUUUUUAGCAUCAAAGUAACUUGCUCUAAAAGUGUAUAAUCAAACUGUAAAUGCCUGAUUAUGUGCUUCACUUGAAAAAAAAAUGUCUGUCAUGAGCAGGACUUAUGAUAAUGUGUCAACAUAAAAUUAACAUGUAUUGAUGGCUAAGACACAGAUGGGCUGAUGACACGUGUGUUCCUUCUUUAUUUGUGUUAGUAUUGUUUAUUUUGGGGGGGGGGGUGUUAUUGAGACAUGAAUACUUGUAGCACUAUAUGAAUGUCGUUCCUAUACCUUUUUUGAACGAACAACCAGCUUAUUAAACAAACUGCACCAAAAUGCAAAAAUGACUACACAUGUCUACAACACUGUUAAACACUAAUUUUUAUCAGUAAAAUAUGUGACUUUGUUGUGAUGUUGAUGAAUUUCUUUAACCCUCCCACUGUCUAUGGGUGACCCCGUGAGGAAAGUUGACCAUUGAGCAGGGUUGAUGGUUUAUCCCUUGAGGUCCACGUGGCAGGGGUGAGGUGGUGUUCACUCCUCACCCCUGCCACGUGGACCCAAGGGAUAAACCAUCAACCCUGCUCAAUGGUCAGCUUUCCUUGUGGGGUCACACCCAUUAGAACAGUGGGAGGGUUAAUCUACAAAAACUCUUAUUGAAGAAGUGCUACAGUUUUAUUGAGCUUUAAAUUUUAAUACAUAAGCAGGUGGUGACUUAAAUAGGAUACAGGUUGCUGACUAAUUAAAUAAAGUUCUUUUUCCACUUUUAAAAUUCAGGUCAAACUCCAGCUGUUUGUUGUAGUAAAGUUUGACUUACUGUGUGUGGUAUAAAGUAUAAAUUCAGCCAUACUCUAUUUUUCUUUUGACAAGAUCAUCUGAGGAGAAAACUUCACAUCCCAUAACCUUCAGCAGAGACAACAGUAAGUUUAGUGCAACAAAACUAUUGUUCCCCUAAGGGAAAUUAUUAUCAGACACAUUUUACAUAUAUAGUUUUAAUAAAGAUAACAUCACAAUUUUAAUAAUUACUAACCUGUAAUUCAAUACAAAGGAUUUAAAAUUCAGAGAUGAAAAGUACAUAUUAGUUAGCUCUGGCUUUUUCUCUGAUAUGUGCAAAAAAACCAAACUAUUUAAAAAGAAAACGCCAUCAACAUGUAAUUAAUAGAAUGGAGUUUACGCAGCACCUGAUCAAUGCUAACAGGCUGUCAGCUUUACAAUAUGAUCAAUCAAACUUUAUUUCAGACAAGGGAUAUGUCCAUAACAAGAAUAAAAAAAAAUAAAUAUGCUUAAAGUUAAUCUGUAUAACAGUGUGUUCUGUCAAAGAAGCAACUGUGAUUGCUGGUCUCACCGUAUGUCAUACGUUUAAUAAAAGUUAAAACAAAAAAAAACCCCGCAUCUAAUAAAGUGACUCUCCGAGACAUGCUAAUGGCUAGCCUCUCCGAUGCUAACGCCAGCCUAUCCAUGCUAAUGGUCCGUCGAGGAGGUAGGAAAUCCAGCUAGUGGCCAGCCUAGGCACGCUUAUGGCUAGCCUCUCCGAUGCUAACGCCAGCCUAUCCAUGCUAAUGGUCCGUCGAGGAGGUAGGAAAUCCAGCUAGUGGCCAGCCUAGGCACGCUUAUGGCUAGCCUCUCCGAU